This 328-nucleotide ribosomal RNA is filed under the name uncultured bacterium. RNAcentral's name for it is "bacterial SSU rRNA". It matches the Rfam family "Bacterial small subunit ribosomal RNA", at positions 8 to 329 of the family's 1533-position model. The record is from RNAcentral.
AGAGUUUGAUCCUGGCUCAGAUUGAACGCUGGCGGCAGGCCUAACACAUGCAAGUCGAGCGGCAGCGGGAAAGUAGCUUGCUACUUUUGCCGGCGAGCGGCGGACGGGUGAGUAAUGCCUGGGGAUCUGCCCAGUCGAGGGGGAUAACUACUGGAAACGGUAGCUAAUACCGCAUACGCCCUACGGGGGAAAGCAGGGGACCUUCGGGCCUUGCGCGAUUGGAUGAACCCAGGUGGGAUUAGCUAGUUGGUGAGGUAAUGGCUCACCAAGGCGACGAUCCCUAGCUGGUCUGAGAGGAUGAUCAGCCACACUGGGAACUGAGACACGG